GAUGAACGCUGGCGGCGUGCCUAAUACAUGCAAGUCGAGCGAACAGACGAGGAGCUUGUUCCUCUGACGUUAGCGGCGGACGGGUGAGUAACACGUGGAUAACCUACCUUUAAGACUGGGAUAACUUCGGGAAACCGGAGCUAAUACCGGAUAAUAUAUUGAACCGCAUGGUUCAAUAGUGAAAGACGGUUUUGCUGUCACUUAUAGAUGGAUCCGCGCCGCAUUAGCUAGUUGGUAAGGUAACGGCUUACCAAGGCGACGAUGCGUAGCCGACCUGAGAGGGUGAUCGGCCACACUGGAACUGAGACACGGUCCAGACUCCUACGGGAGGCAGCAGUAGGGAAUCUUCCGCAAUGGGCGAAAGCCUGACGGAGCAACGCCGCGUGAGUGAUGAAGGUCUUCGGAUCGUAAAACUCUGUAAUUAGGGAAGAACAAAUGUGUAAGUAACUAUGCACGUCUUGACGGUACCUAAUCAGAAAGCCACGGCUAACUACGUG
RNAcentral lists this ribosomal RNA (497 nucleotides) under uncultured bacterium. RNAcentral describes it as "partial 16S ribosomal RNA". It matches the Rfam family "Bacterial small subunit ribosomal RNA", at positions 28 to 507 of the family's 1533-position model. The record is from RNAcentral.